UACGUAGGGGGCAAGCGUUGUCCGGAUUUACUGGGCGUAAAGAGCGUGUAGGCGGCCAGGUAGGUCAGCUGUGAAAACUCGAGGCUCAACCUCGAGAUGUCGGUGGAAACUGCUUGGCUAGAGUCCGGAAGAGGAGUGUGGAAUUCCUGGUGUAGCGGUGAAAUGCGCAGAUAUCAGGAAGAACACCUAUGGCGAAGGCAGCACUCUGGGACGGUACUGACGCUGAGACGCGAAAGCGUGGGGAGCGAACAGG
This 253-nucleotide ribosomal RNA is filed under the name uncultured bacterium. RNAcentral describes it as "partial 16S ribosomal RNA". It matches the Rfam family "Bacterial small subunit ribosomal RNA", at positions 524 to 776 of the family's 1533-position model. The record is from RNAcentral.